Molecule: unclassified non-coding RNA, 659 nt
Filed under: Hevea brasiliensis (rubber tree)
Lineage: Eukaryota; Viridiplantae; Streptophyta; Magnoliopsida; Malpighiales; Euphorbiaceae
Source: RNAcentral
UGCUGGUGUAAUCCAAUGAGGUUAUUCAAAUGUAAACCUUAAGGAGAUAAGUUUAAUUAUUUCAUAAAAAAAUAAUACUGAUUUCUUAUGCCUGCAAGAAUUUCUACCUUCAGCGCUUAUUUAAAGGGCCAUCAUGCUAACACCAACUCUAGCCAAGAUAAUCGUCUUCCCUUCUAGCAAAGAGCACCAUAUCAAUACAAUGGAUGCAAGAUUAUUAGAGGCUGCUCAAUGUGGAGACAUCAAUUACUUACAACAACUGCUGAGAGAAAACCCACUCAUCCUUGACAGCAUUGCACUGUUGUCCACUGAGAAUCUCCUUAAUGUCGCUCUGGUAACUGGAAACGUUAGCUUUGUCAAGGAGGUUAUAAGGUUAAAGCCUCAUUUUGCCAAAGAAUUAAAUCAAGAUGGCUUUAGCCCCAUGCAUAUGGCAGCAGCUAAUGGCCAUGUAGAGAUUGUAAAGGAGCUGAACGAAGUUGACCCCAACCUUUGCCGGUUAGAGGGAAGAGAACAAAGGACUCCUCUUCAUUACGCAGCCAUCAAAGGGAGGGUUGAGGUAAUCAGCGUUUUGCUUGGCAGUUGUCCUGAAUGUAUCGAUUCUGUGACAGUUGAAAGAGAGACUGCUUUGCAUCUUGCUGUUAAGAACAACCAAUUUCAAGCAA